AUUGAACGCUGGCGGCAUGCCUACACAUGCAAGUCGAACGGCAGCAUAGGAGCUUGCUCCUGAUGGCGAGUGGCGAACGGGUGAGUAAUAUAUCGGACCGUGCCCUAGAGUGGGGGAUAACUAGUCGAAAGACUAGCUAAUACCGCAUACGAUCUACGGAUGAAAGUGGGGGAUCGCAAGACCUCAUGCUCCUGGAGCGGCCGAUAUCUGAUUAGCUAGUUGGUGGGGUAAAAGCUCACCAAGGCGACGAUCAGUAGCUGGUCUGAGAGGACGACCAGCCACACUGGGACUGAGACACGGCCCAGACUCCUACGGGAGGCAGCAGUGGGGAAUUUUGGACAAUGGGGGCAACCCUGAUCCAGCAAUGCCGCGUGAGUGAAGAAGGCCUUCGGGUUGUAAAGCUCUUUUGUCAGGGAAGAAACGGUUCUGGAUAAUACCUGGAGCUAAUGACGGUACCUGAAGAAUAAGCACCGGCUAACUACGUGCCAGCCGCCGCCGUAA
Molecule: ribosomal RNA, 501 nt
Filed under: uncultured bacterium
Lineage: Bacteria
Description: partial 16S ribosomal RNA
Rfam family: Bacterial small subunit ribosomal RNA
Source: RNAcentral